Molecule: long non-coding RNA, 382 nt
Organism: Thalassophryne amazonica
Lineage: Eukaryota; Metazoa; Chordata; Actinopteri; Batrachoidiformes; Batrachoididae
Exons: 3
Source: RefSeq, a predicted model, not a curated record
UCGCGCCAGGGAGAAACUCUCCUUUAUGACAUAAGAAAAUCAGCUCAUAACUUUUUUUAAGUGUAAAUAUUUAAUAAGUAUCGUCUGUGUUACAGUUUGUGGAUAUUCUGUUAGUUUAUUUAAUGCUGUUUAAUCCAGCUUUUUCUCCAGACAGAGCAGCUCUGAAAUUUCAUUUACAUUUAAAAAUACAGGUUAAUAACGCAGAGCUGAUGUGUUAUAACCAAUGGAGGUCUAUCGAACCGUCAACAGAGCGCCACGGGGAGGGACUCCCGUUACACGUUUGUGGCGAGGCGAGACCGUCGCUCCCUGCAAGAUGCCCGAAGGAGGAGAAUUCAGCCUGACAACCCCAGAGACAUUUCGAGGAGCCAGGGAGAGAGUCGCC